Molecule: ribosomal RNA, 500 nt
Filed under: uncultured bacterium
Lineage: Bacteria
Description: partial 16S ribosomal RNA
Rfam family: Bacterial small subunit ribosomal RNA
Source: RNAcentral
AUUGAACGCUGGCGGCAUGCCUUACACAUGCAAGUCGAACGGCAGCACGGGAGCAAUCCUGGUGGCGAGUGGCGAACGGGUGAGUAAUGUAUCGGAACGUGCCCAGUCGUGGGGGAUAACGCAGCGAAAGCUGUGCUAAUACCGCAUACGAUCUAUGGAUGAAAGCGGGGGAUCGCAAGACCUCGCGCGAUUGGAGCGGCCGAUAUCAGAUUAGGUAGUUGGUGGGGUAAAGGCCCACCAAGCCUGCGAUCGGUAGCUGGUCUGAGAGGGCGACCAGCCACGCGGGGACUGAGACACGGCCCAGACUCCUACGGGAGGCAGCAGUGGGGAAUUUUGGACAAUGGGCGCAAGCCUGAUCCAGCAAUGCCGCGUGCAGGAUGAAGGCCUUCGGGUUGUAAACUGCUUUUGUACGAGACGAAAAGACUCGCUCUAAUACAGUGGGUACAUGACGGUAUCGUAAGAAUAAGCACCGGCUAACUACGUGCCAGCCGCCGCGGUAA